UACAGAGACUGCAAGCGUUGUUCGGAUUUAUUGGGCGUAAAGAGCUCGUAGGUGGUUCGGUAAGUCGGGUGUGAAAACUCUGGGCUCAACUCAGAGACGCCACCCGAUACUGCUGUGACUCGAGUCUGGUAGGGGAGUGUGGAAUUCCCAGUGUAGCGGUGAAAUGCGCAGAUAUUGGGAGGAACACCAGUGGCGAAGGCGGCACUCUGGGCCAGUACUGACACUGAGGAGCGAAAGCGUGGGUAGCGAACAGG
RNAcentral lists this ribosomal RNA (254 nucleotides) under uncultured bacterium. Its description in RNAcentral is "partial 16S ribosomal RNA". It matches the Rfam family "Bacterial small subunit ribosomal RNA", at positions 524 to 776 of the family's 1533-position model. The record is from RNAcentral.